GAUGAACGCUGGCGGCGUGCUUAACACAUGCAAGUCGAACGGAAAGGCCCAAGCUUGCUUGGGUACUCGAGUGGCGAACGGGUGAGUAACACGUGGGUGAUCUGCCCUGCACUUCGGGAUAAGCCUGGGAAACUGGGUCUAAUACCGGAUAGGACGAUGGUUUGGAUGCCAUUGUGGAAAGUUUUUUCGGUGUGGGAUGUGCUCGCGGCCUAUUAGAUUUUUUGUGGGGUAUUGGCAUACCAAGGCGUCGACGGGUAUCCGUCCCGAGAGGGUGUAGGCACACAUUAGAACACAGAGACAGCCCACACUCCGAAAGAAGGCAGAAUGGAGGAAUAUUUCACAAAGUGCGCAAGCCUGAGUCACCGACGCCUCGUGGGGGAUGACGGCCUUCGGGUUGUAAACACCUCUCGCUAUUGACAAAGCGUUUUUGUGACGGUACCUGGAGAAGAAGCACCGGCUAACUACGUG
This 468-nucleotide ribosomal RNA is filed under the name uncultured bacterium. RNAcentral's name for it is "partial 16S ribosomal RNA". It matches the Rfam family "Bacterial small subunit ribosomal RNA", at positions 28 to 507 of the family's 1533-position model. The record is from RNAcentral.